UGGAAACCAACGUAGAUGGGUUUAUAUGUCUGAAACAACACACAGAAAACAGAUCAGAUGGAGGGGCGAACAAGAAAAAAGCUCAGAUGAUUUCAAGGGUCUGAGGCUUUUAACCAGCAGAGCUCACUAUCUUCUGUCUUCCCAGCAAACAACCAAGGAUUCCAGUGGAUUAUAUUUUAUCAACUGGAAGUAAUCCUGACAUUCAUUUUAGAGUCUUCAGAUUUAGCUGCAGAACCUUUUUUUACAACUGCUCCCCCCAAAAGCUAUAAAAAUGACUUUGUAGCGACUCAUUGCCAACG
This 299-nucleotide long non-coding RNA is filed under the name Gouania willdenowi (blunt-snouted clingfish). RNAcentral's name for it is "lncRNA (ENSGWIG00000011766.1)". Lineage: Eukaryota; Metazoa; Chordata; Actinopteri; Blenniiformes; Gobiesocidae. The record is from RNAcentral.